Molecule: transfer RNA, 72 nt
Filed under: Mustela putorius furo (domestic ferret)
Lineage: Eukaryota; Metazoa; Chordata; Mammalia; Carnivora; Mustelidae
Rfam family: tRNA
About the family: Transfer RNA (tRNA) molecules are approximately 80 nucleotides in length. Their secondary structure includes four short double-helical elements and three loops (D, anti-codon, and T loops).
Source: Rfam by way of RNAcentral
GCCUGGGUGGCUCAGUUGGUUAAGCAGCUGCCUUCGGCUCAGGUCAUGUGGGAUCAAGUCCCACAUCGGGCU